AGAGGCUCUGGUGCAAGUAACAGCAAAUGAGUGUGUCACUGAUUUGUGCAUGCAGUACAUGCAUGUGUGUGCGUGUGCAUGUGUGUGCAUAUACACCCCCCCACCCCCUCCUCACCCCUCCUCUCUUGCGUCGGUGAGGCAGCAUACUGGUAUGCUUCACUGGCACUGUGGCCCCGGUUGCAAGCACUGAUCCUGAGGCUCGAUGCUAGCUCUGUUCUUUCAUCUCCGUCGGCGUCUCUCUCCGUCACUUUCCCUUUCUUUCUCUGGCUGUCUACCUGUUCUGUCUGACCCUAGGUAUCAAUUCCCUUCAGCGCUACAAUUUCUGGGAAGAGGAAUCGUCUGGCCGACUCUCUUGCGAUUCUCUUCCCUGGACCGCUUGCUCUCGCUCUGGGAGUGUUUGUGUGUGUGCGUGUGAGUGUGUGUGAAAGAGAGAGAGGGAGGGAGAGAGAGCGAGAGCGCAGAGAUAGAGGGAGAGGGAGCGUGCACAUGGUUCAUUCCGGCUUGGUCCUACCACCCAUACUCAUCUUUCUUGUCUCCAUCCGUCGCUCUCUUGCCGUUUAUUUCACCUGACUUUGAGCAGCUUGCCGGACAGACCAGCCUCUUCCUUGUGCCGCCUUUCCCCCUCCUUUUUUAAUAUUUUAAAUCCCUUCUUUUACUUCUGAGCAUAACUGGAAUCUUGUUGCCAUGCUGUAAGUUUAAAUCUGAGCUUUCUCUUUCUCUCUGUCUCCUUUAUUCUUCCCCUCCCUGAGCAGGCAGCGAGCUACAAGAACAACGAGCGAUGGGGACAUCCUGGAUUCGAAGGGGAGGCCUGGUAGACCAGGUCAGGACACGUUGGGGAUCGGUCCGUGAACAUGAGACGGAUAUGACAACCACAGUGAAGCAAACUUCAGCUGCCCAUACACACUCCUGUACACGUUUCUGUGGUGUACAGAGCUUGACCAGGACGUACUGAUGUGCACACACUCACAUACUGACUAUGAAACAGCAAGUGUUAUUUUUAAAAAUAUUUUAAAUGUCUUUGUAAUACAAAAAUAUGUAAUAAAAUAUUUAUCAAAUGUC
This is a long non-coding RNA of Amphiprion ocellaris (clown anemonefish), 1059 nucleotides long. RefSeq lists it as uncharacterized. The transcript is spliced from 2 exons. Lineage: Eukaryota; Metazoa; Chordata; Actinopteri; Pomacentridae. The record is from RefSeq and is a predicted model, not a curated record.